UCACUUACCUGGUAGAGAUACCAUGAUCAUGAAUGGUAUUCACCCAGACAGGCUCAGCCAUUGCACUUCGAAGAAGGAUCUGCAAGGACCUCAAAUGUGGGAAUCUCACUGCAUAAUUUGUGGUGGUGGUGGGGGACUGCGCCCGCGCCUUCCCUGA
Hippoglossus stenolepis (Pacific halibut) is the source of this 157-nucleotide small nuclear RNA. RefSeq annotates it as U1 spliceosomal RNA. Lineage: Eukaryota; Metazoa; Chordata; Actinopteri; Pleuronectiformes; Pleuronectidae. The record is from RefSeq and is a predicted model, not a curated record. The transcript has a single exon.